UCAGACUUGCCAAGAAGAGUAGAAGGUUA
RNAcentral lists this non-coding RNA (29 nucleotides) under Mus musculus (house mouse). Lineage: Eukaryota; Metazoa; Chordata; Mammalia; Rodentia; Muridae. The record is from RNAcentral.